This 285-nucleotide long non-coding RNA is filed under the name Oryza sativa (Asian cultivated rice). RNAcentral's name for it is "long non-coding RNA (OSAT_LNC001718)". The record is from RNAcentral. Lineage: Eukaryota; Viridiplantae; Streptophyta; Magnoliopsida; Poales; Poaceae.
CGACGGCAGCAAAGCCGCGGCGGCGGAGGAGGAGGACCCCGGCGAGGGCCUCGGCGAAGGCGGCGCCUGGUCUUGCUUGAGCUGGUCGACGGUGGCCUGGUCGGUGUGCAUGGACUUGUCGAGGAUGGUGUCGUCGAUGCCGCUGCCGAAGAGCGCGGCGGGGAGGGAGAUGGUGCCGGGGGUGGCGCUGCCGAAGGCGGAGAAGGCGCGGGCGACGACGUCGGUGCCAUUGUUGAACUGGAAGUGCACCAUGCCCUUGGGGAACACGAACAUGUCGCCGGUCUG